Molecule: non-coding RNA, 479 nt
Organism: Podarcis lilfordi (Lilford's wall lizard)
Lineage: Eukaryota; Metazoa; Chordata; Lepidosauria; Squamata; Lacertidae
Source: the annotation of a GenBank genome assembly
CCACUUUUUGCUCAUCCCUCUCAAAGCAUUAGACAGGGGAAAUGCUUCAAUUUCUUUUGUUUUCAGCAGUUUUGGGAGGUAAAUCCAUCCUUUUAAUUAAAGGCAGCUGGUAUAUUCUGGGUGUUAAUAACAUGCCACAGGUCUCUUAAAAUGCCUCUUUUUUCUAGGUGUCCAAUCAGCAGUCCAGCUGGUGGAGUCUGGAGGAGAUGCCAAAAGGCCUGGAGAGUCCAUUCGCCUCUCCUGUCAAGCCUCCGGGUUCACCUUUAGCAGCUACUGGAUGAGCUGGGUGAGACAGGCUCCCGGGAAAGGCCUGGAAUGGCUGGGAGAAAUAAAUGCAGCUUCAUCUACCAUAAACUACUCGAACAAAGUGAAGGGACGUUUCACCAUCUCCAGGGACAAUUCAAACAGCCUCCUCUAUCUGCAAAUGAACAGCCUGGAAGCUGAAGACACGGCUGUGUAUUACUGCGCAAGAGUCACAG